AGCUCCAAUAGCGUAUAUUAAAGUUGUUGUGGUUAAAAAGCUCGUAGUUGGAUCUCGGCGGUCUGAGGGCGGUUCGCUUGAUUGAGUGCUACUGCUCUAUAGGCCGUGGUUUUGCCAGAGGUCUCGGGGUGCUCUUAACCGAGUGUCCUGCGAUGCUGGCAGGUUUACUUUGAAAAAAUUAGAGUGCUCAAAGCAGGCUUUUACGCCUGAAUAUUCGUGCAUGGAAUAAUAGAAUAGGAAGUCGUUUCUAUUUUGUUGGUUUUCGGAAAUCGACUUAAUGAUUAAUAGGGACAGUCGGGAGCAUUUGUAUUCAAACGACAGAGGUGAAAUUCUUGGAUCCUCGCCAGACCAACAAAAGCGAAAGCAUUUGCCAAGAAUGUCUUCA
This 385-nucleotide ribosomal RNA is filed under the name marine copepod environmental sample. RNAcentral's name for it is "SSU rRNA". It matches the Rfam family "Eukaryotic small subunit ribosomal RNA", at positions 587 to 972 of the family's 1831-position model. Lineage: Eukaryota; Metazoa; Arthropoda; Copepoda. The record is from RNAcentral.